CUCACACAAAGUCAAUGCAUAGAAAAAAUACAAAUGAUCAAUGGCCAAAGUUUUUUUCCUGUCCUUCAUCUUGAUAGUUGAUGGAGGGUCUUCAACAAUAAAAGAAUGAUUAGUACCGUAAAACAAGGUCAAGAUGGUCCUUAGUGUCGACUUAAGCAGUACUAGUACUUAAAGUAUAAUACUGCACUGUCACUAUAUUUAAAUCUAGUCAUAAAAAAAUCACCAAAGUCUUAAUUAAGCACAAUACAAGACGAGAGCAGACAGACAUAAUGAUUAUGAGAAUUUCGGUUUUUGCUUUAUCCUACAUAUCGGUCUACUUUUAAUGUUGUCCCCGUAAAACAUAAAAGUCUUAAAUUACAAUGAAUCUAUGUUUUUGCUUUGAGACAAGAAUAUUGUCGAAAGAAAUAGCUUAAAAUUAAUUGCGUUUCAAUGUAAGAAAGAGUCCUGAAAACGCUUAGAAUGCACGAUUUUGCGUUAUUUUUCUCAGAGCGUCUGGGGGCCUUGAGCGGCCUCCAGACCCCUCGCCAAACUUUUUUCGCCUCGAUACGCUCGGCGAAUAUAUUUUGCCUCAAUAUUUAAAGAGGCUAGUUACGGCCC
RNAcentral lists this long non-coding RNA (597 nucleotides) under Mytilus galloprovincialis (Mediterranean mussel). Lineage: Eukaryota; Metazoa; Mollusca; Bivalvia; Mytilida; Mytilidae. The record is from RNAcentral.